CGUUGUGCACUUGUUGUGUGGGCAUGCGCCCAUUAUUGCUUAUAUGUUGUUUAAUUAAAUGCAAACUGGGAGGCUACUUUUUUUUAUAUUUUUUUUAAUAACUCAUUGUUUUUAACUUUUGAUUAUUUGAAGAAUAAUGAAAUAAUAAUUAUUUUAAGUAUCAAUUUGUAAGAAAUAAUUGUUUUUGUAUAAAAAUCUUUUUUUUUGUUAAAAGAUAUUUAUGUCUUUGUUAAGAUUUGUGGAUUUAAAAGAAAAACAUAUGGACUUUAAAAGACUUUAAAAGACUUUAAACAUCAUAAAUUCCUUUUUCCUUUUGUUUAUAUUAAUAUUGUGGUUAAGAUUAAUUAUUGAGUUAUUGCACUUAAGUGCAGGAAAGUGUAACUUUUUAAGUUUCUCAUCUCUAUGUAUUGUCAUAUCUAUGGUCAUCUUCAUAUUGGAAAGGAAAAGGUAGCACUUUCCUUUCUGUUUUUGUCAGCCAUAAUGUAGACAUCAAAAUUUUUGUGCUCGUCACGUAUCUAUCGACAUCCAUGUCGAAAGUGGUGUAUUUACUACCGCAUUAGCGGUCCGGGAGUUGGCGACCUCUCGCUGCCCCAUGCCUGAGGUGUGAUCCAUAAGCUUCGCCCAUAACAUCUGGGCACCCCAGGGCUUGUCCCGUGGUUCUACGGCGAUGGGAGCCGCCAACAAAUAUCCCAGGAAAGUUUUCGACGACUAAAUCCUAAGCAUGCAGCAUGGGUAGUUAACCUGUUUCGGCCACGCGUAUCUUGCAAUUUCAUCGACUAUUUCAUCAAACUACCCCUUUGGCAUCGUAAUCUACAUUUAAUUCCUGAGUAAUAUUUUAAUUCUUUCUGUAUCUUAAAUUUACGUUAAUUAUUUUGAAAAUGUAACUAAGUAAUAAUUAUUUUGAAAAAUGUAACUAAUUAAUCAUAUUGUGAAGAUGUAACUAAGUAAAAAAUGUCGGGGCCCCGUUUUGUUUUGAAUGUACGAAUACUCAAUUAAUACUCUUUAUUGUGUUUUAAAUAAAUAUGUUUUGUUAUGGCUGACCCGAUAUCAGUGUGUAUUUUAUGUUGCAAUUACCUAAACUUUCUUUAUUUAAUUCCUUAUCUAUAUAAAUUCUUAACAGGUUAUCAACUUUUGUUCGGUAGUUUUCCCAGUCGGCAUAUUUUCUCUCUACUCGUUAUUUAUUCAAUACAACAAAGCAAUGCCAUUCAACCUAAGAUCCCGGAGUCUUCCGUCGUAAAUUACCUUGGUGAGGUUUAGCAAACCGAAACAAGAGUAAUGACCGGCAUAAAGAUGGUAGCAGAGCGUGGUUGUCUUGGUAUUUUGUUUUGUUGUGUUUUUUUUGUUUAAGUUUAAAUAUUUUUUUUUUGAGUAAAUUAACGAAUUUUAAGUUUUCAUAGUUUUAACUUUGAAAUAAGUUCCAAGCUAUCAUCUUGAAGUGCUGUUUUAACUAUUUAAUUUAUGGUAAUUAUUGUUUGAUAAUCUUUUUUAUGGCAAUCUAUUUAUUUUUACUUUAAAGUGUUUUCCUUAUAAGGUACAUUAUGAAGUUAGAAUUGUCCAAGAGAUUUCUUUGAUUUCUUUUUUUUCUCUCGUUGGUUUUAAUCUUGAAGUUCUAAUUUUCAGUUUCUAAGGUGUUUUGUCUUCAGUGACAUUUAAUCUGCAAGAGAUCUAAACUUUGUUUUAAAGUAUGCAUCUUUCUUAAUAUAAACAAAUUAUCUAUUUACAGUUUCUGGCUAUAUUUGAAUCAGUGUGGUUGUUGGUCCUGUUUACACCAGUGUGUUGCCUUUAUCAUGUAGUUUACAGGUUAUUUUGGGUAGGUUAUUAAGUAUUCCUUUUAAGUAUAAUUUGUGGUCUUCAGUUUAAGUGUGCAUUGUUUAGGAACGGCCGCCUAACUUUGUGUCCUACUGUUGGCGUUGUUUUGUUAUUUUUUUUUAACACUUAUUCCUGCUUUCAGUUGAAGGUCCACCAUUCGGGUCCACUGUUAGCGAAUUAGUGUCUUUAGGGUCCUUGACUCAGUUGAUCGUGGACUCAUGACCCACGUGUCCUAGUCUUUGAAUCCCUCGUAACUCGAGUCAUAAAUAAAUAAAAAACCAUGGUACUAGUUUUUAAGUUGUUGCAACAUUUAAUUUUUUUUAAUAUUAUUUCUGGGGAACAAGUUUGGUUAUAGGGUUUUCUUAGUUUGAAUUUUUAUGUUCAAGUAAUCAUGUGGUUAUUAGUUGGUAUUUGGGGUAUGUAUUUUCGUACAAGUUAUUUUGUUAUCAUCUUCAUGUUUUAUUUUCAUCAGUUUUUUAUGUCCAUUUCACAUAAUUUAGGGUUUGGUGUAACAACUAGAUUAAUUUCAACACUGAUAUUUUUUUGUUUUAGUUAAUCAUGUAAGAUUGAGGUUAUGUUUGGUAAUUGUCGUUUAAUUUGUCGCAAGUUGUUUGAGAGUUUUAAAAUUUAUAUUCCUUUUAACCUAUAAAAUUGUCGUGGUUUUAAUUACAUAAUUUGCAUAUUCUUUAUUAAUAUAAUUCUAAAUGAUAUUUCAAUUUUAUAAGAUUGCAGAUUUUGUUCGUGAGAGAAUUGUUUGCAUAUUAUUUCUCGUUUUCAUAAUAUUUCCAUGAUUCUGAUUUUUUUUGCAGAUUGCCAUAUGUUGAAAAGUCUGUGGUUUCUUCAGUAAUAUUUAAUUGAUGUGAUGUUUGUUUACUUUUCGUGUAUCACCAUUUGGGGCACGUUUUUCAUAAUUUAACCAUGAUAGGUAUAUUUUCUUGUCUUGUUGUCAUCAUUUAAUAAGUUCUUUUUAUAGCAGGUUGUUUUAAUAAUCUCUUAUGUUGUUUCUUCUGCCCAUGUUUUGUUAUAGGUCAUCUUGGGUAUGUAUUUUAGAUAUUGAUUUCUUUUCAGAUACAUUUUGCCGUUUCCCUAUUAUGUUCAUUUAAUGUGUGUUCUAGUGCUUUUCAUUGCACAGUUUAAUAAUUGAGGUUAUGGUAUUGUUUUAUAAGUAUCUAAUUUGCAGUAUAUUUAUUUUUGAAUCAAGUAUUUGGGUAAUAUAUUCUUUUUGUCUUAAAUUGUGUUGGAUCAUCAUUUAAAUUUUUUCUCUUGAGCCUAUUAAUUUUUUUUAUUUAAAUUUCACUAUUUUGCUUUGUUUUGUUUUAAUUAUUUUGUUUCAGUGAGAUGCAGUAAAAGGUCAGUGGUUUUCUUGUUAGAAUUUUGUCGUUUUCUCUUUUGAAUCUUUUCUUUAAGCACUAUUAUAAAGUUUUAUAGUUUUCAUACAAUGUAUGUAUGUAAUUUUCUAUUCUGGGAGUAAGUGACUUCCAGACGAUAUUUGGGUUGUGUUUUAAUUGUGUUGUCGACUUUGGUCAACUUUUUAUUUUAGGCAGGUCCUCUGAGCCAGAGCCAGUGAGCCAGUGCCAAGUCCUGUUGAGAAGUGUUUAGGCUUCACCAGCACUUUUCAUUUUUUUUUUUGCAGGCCUCAGUCUUUUUUUUAUCAAACCAUAUAUCUGCCAUGGAAGAUCCAAUCACUCAUUUUUAAUAAUAGUUUAAAUUUAGAUUAAUAUGUUUUGUGAGUUUAUUUGUUUUUAAAUAAUAAUUAAUAUUUUUUUUUUGAGUGCUAGCUUUGAUUCAUUGCUUUUCUAUUUUGUUUGUCUUGCUAGGGUCAUCUUUUAAAAUAACAUUUUAAUAUAUCCGUUUUGUUUCUUGUAUUUUCAUCCAAGACAUAUACUUUUUUUUGAAAUUUCUGUUUUGUAGGUUAUGUGUGUGUUAGUUCAUGUGGGGAUGUGGUGCGUUGUGUGUUUACACAGCUUUCCACACGAUACAGCCAUUUCACAUGUGUUGCACACAUUACACCGUGUAGUGUCAUCAAAUUUAAUCAUUUUUCAAAUUUGUGUUUAACUUUUUUGAACUUAGGUACUUUUCCUGUUUAAUUUUGUGUACUAGGUUGUUGCUGUAGGGCAUCUCUCCUGUGGGGUGUCUGCUGCAUGGAGUUUGCUAGGGUGGUUGCGGCUUCGGCUCGGUGUUGCUGCGACUCACCGUUUCAGCCAUCUCUGGUGAAUUUCGUGUAGUGAAGCUCUGCUUGGUGGGAUUGUCUUAUAGUGGCACAUUCUUCAUUGUAAGGUAUGGUUUCAACUUUGAUUUCUUCUCAAAAAUUUUUCCUUUUAAUACAUUGCAAGCAGUUCUUUUUUUAUUCACUUCACCUUUGCUGAAUCAACUUUAUUCAUGUUAUAUUUUGUGUUAGUGGUCAAUCUUGCUUUUGCAGGUGCUAAAUUAUCUCUUGAGUGUCUAAGGUAUGGGACUUAGUCAUUCAUCUUUGGACGGCCAUUUUCUUAAUUUUUUUAAUUUUCAAUUUUUGUGUUGUCGUUUUGAAUAAGCAUUUUAAGAUUUUGUUUUCUUUUUUUUGGUGGCUCAAAUUUCUUUUAUAUUUGAUCGGUAUUGUCAAUGUAAGUUUUGUUAAACUUUCAUUAGGUAUUCUUCUAUUUUGAAACUUUUUUAAAUUUUAGCAUGAUGUGUUGUAUUAACUGCAGUGUUCAGAGCGGUAUAGUAUGAUCAGGAUUUUAGUGACCAGGAUUUAAUUAGGGGUAAAGAAUCCCCAAGUUUUUUUUUUAUAAUAAGAAGGGGUAGAGAAUCCCCAAUUUUGUUAAUAUGGAGGAGGUAGAAGACCCCCCAUUUAGCUGAAUAAGGAGGGGUAAGGAGUCCCCACUAUUCUGAAUAAGCCGACGGGCAUUUUUUUUUUAUAUGAGGUAUGGUCCUCUUUUGUUGUAGUAUGUACUGGCGGUCCUGAGUAUUUGUACCACCCAUCUGUCCUGCUUGUUUCUUCGAUUACUCAUUCAUUUUCUUCGUCCUUUUCGUAUUUUGAUCUUCGUCGUCGUCUUCGUUCUUCUCUAGCUUUGAGAUUUUUCUCUCGUAGGUAUGGGAUAAUCCUACGUUUAGCUAAUUUAUGUCGAUUUCGAGACAGAGAUUUGUUGUUUAACUCAUUUGUGUGAGUAUUUAAGUAUUUUAAUGUGAAGGGGUGAGUAGUCCCCAUUUUGAUGUAGAGGUGUAUAUUCCUCAUGGUGCAUUGUCUGUUGUUUCAUCUCUGUUUUCUUGAGUAUAGCAGGAAGUUGAUCCUGUGAUUCUCCAAAAAUCCUUUAUAGGAAGAGUAUUUUACUCAUACUUUUCGCAAAACACAAUCAAGGUGUACCAUAAUCUAUGAACUGCACCAAAACAUUUUCCCGGUCUUCUAGCAUCCAGUUCAAAAUCUUGGCUCAAAACAAUCUGAAAAAAAAAAAAAAAAAAAAAAACCUUCAAAUUUACACACACAAUCAAGGUCUACCAUAAUCUGGUUGACAAAAACAUAUUCGUGGUCAUUCGUUUCCACCACUAACUCCGUCAUUACCAAUUGUUCGUCACUCCUAGUGUUUUCAUUGGUUCUUCCUUUAACAUGUUUGGUUGGGUAAGUCAAACUUAUCUUUACCUACCAUACAACUCCCAAAGGUUAAUUGUAACAUUAGCGACUUAAUGUUUUCAAACAUUGCUAAUAUUUCUUAAUAUGUCUAUUAUUCAGGUUAUUAACAACCUAGUCAUAUCACCAUCCUGUCCUGUUCUGUUCUUCAUCUACACACAUAUUUAUUAAUUAAUAUUUUGAUCUUUGAUAUCUCUCGUAUAUUGAUGUUUUGCAUUCUCGUGCAUUUAAGUUUUAUAGAUUGCCAUAUAAAAAGAAGAUUUUUUUUAAGAGAGUGGUGUGCUUUGAGGGGGGGAGUGUGUGCCGUUGUGCACUUGUUGUGUGGGCAUGCGCCCAUUAUUGCUUAUAUGUUGUUUAAUUAAAUGCAAACUGGGAGGCUACUUUUUUUAUAUUUUUUUAAUAACUCAUUGUUUUUAACUUUUGAUUAUUUGAAGAAUAAUGAAAUAAUAAUUAUUUUAAGUAUCAAUUUGUAAGAAAUAAUUGUUUUUGUAUAAAAAUCUUUUUUUUUGUUAAAAGAUAUUUAUGUCUUUGUUAAGAUUUGUGGAUUUAAAAGAAAAACAUAUGGACUUUAAAAGACUUUAAAAGACUUUAAACAUCAUAAAUUCCUUUUUCCUUUUGUUUAUAUUAAUAUUGUGGUUAAGAUUAAUUAUUGAGUUAUUGCACUUAAGUGCAGGAAAGUGUAACUUUUUAAGUUUCUCAUCUCUAUGUAUUGUCAUAUCUAUGGUCAUCUUCAUAUUGGAAAGGAAAAGGUAGCACUUUCCUUUCUGUUUUUGUCAGCCAUAAUGUAGACAUCAAAAUUUUUGUGCUCGUCACGUAUCUAUCGACAUCCAUGUCGAAAGUGGUGUAUUUACUACCGCAUUAGCGGUCCGGGAGUUGGCGACCUCUCGCUGCCCCAUGCCUGAGGUGUGAUCCAUAAGCUUCGCCCAUAACAUCUGGGCACCCCAGGGCUUGUCCCGUGGUUCUACGGCGAUGGGAGCCGCCAACAAAUAUCCCAGGAAAGUUUUCGACGACUAAAUCCUAAGCAUGCAGCAUGGGUAGUUAACCUGUUUCGGCCACGCGUAUCUUGCAAUUUCAUCGACUAUUUCAUCAAACUACCCCUUUGGCAUCGUAAUCUACAUUUAAUUCCUGAGUAAUAUUUUAAUUCUUUCUGUAUCUUAAAUUUACGUUAAUUAUUUUGAAAAUGUAACUAAGUAAUAAUCAUUUUGAAAAAUGUAACUAAUUAAUCAUAUUGUGAAGAUGUAACUAAGUAAAAAAUGUCGGGGCCCCGUUUUGUUUUGAAUGUACGAAUACUCAAUUAAUACUCUUUAUUGUGUUUUAAAUAAAUAUGUUUUGUUAUGGCUGACCCGAUAUCAGUGUGUAUUUUAUGUUGCAAUUACCUAAACUUUCUUUAUUUAAUUCCUUAUCUAUAUAAAUUCUUAACAGGUUAUCAACUUUUGUUCGGUAGUUUUCCCAGUCGGCAUAUUUUCUCUCUACUCGUUAUUUAUUCAAUACAACAAAGCAAUGCCAUUCAACCUAAGAUCCCGGAGUCUUCCGUCGUAAAUUACCUUGGUGAGGUUUAGCAAACCGAAACA
Long non-coding RNA from Bacillus rossius redtenbacheri, 6981 nucleotides. RefSeq lists it as uncharacterized. The transcript has 3 exons. NCBI's taxonomy places the organism in Eukaryota, Metazoa, Arthropoda, Insecta, Phasmatodea, Bacillidae. The record is from RefSeq and is a predicted model, not a curated record.